Eriocheir sinensis (Chinese mitten crab) is the source of this 2857-nucleotide long non-coding RNA. RefSeq lists it as uncharacterized. The transcript has 2 exons. Lineage: Eukaryota; Metazoa; Arthropoda; Malacostraca; Decapoda; Varunidae. The record is from RefSeq and is a predicted model, not a curated record.
CACACAUACCAGACUGUUACAUGGACGUGGUGUACAGCCAAAUCAUGAGUGCAGAUCUUAGCUUUUCAGAUCCCACGAGGAUUGCGAGGAGUUAAGAAGACUCAAAAUAAGUAUGAGUCAGAUUAAGAUCUUGAAACAGAGGUGGAGGACAGAGAAACUAACAGACAGUGUUACUAGGCAGACACACUGUCAGCAUGUGUGUAUGAGCGGUCUUGUAAGAUAGCCUUACAUGAAGCGCAGGGGAAUGGGAGCUGCGGUACUGCAGGCACAUGUUUAAAUCAGUGGGAAGCUGUGGUAAAGAGGGGGUUAACCCAGUAGCAGCAACGGGCCAAAUUUAUGGCUUUACGGUGUAGGAGCAAAGGGCCAAAUUUGUGCCAUGAUUUAAACCCCCCAAAAUAGAUGAUACAUAAACUGAUCACAAAUUCUUUGAUAUAUAUUAAGAAAUGGUUUAUGUAAGUGAUGAAUUUUUCUCGCUUAGAGGGACCAUCAAGAAACAUGAUCCCUGCUGCUACCAGGUUAAAGGUGCCAUUCAAGAGACAUGGGGCAAUAUUAAACAGGAACUUUUGUAAACCUGAGUGAUUCCUUUCCCAAGCAUGUUCAGAUUGUUAAGAGCUGAGAGUAGCCUACAAGUUAUUCAUUUUAGUGAAUAUCAUCUUUAAUACCAUAUUCAACUCUAUUAAUCAUCCUGUUCCCAAGUACAACAGGUUCAUGCAGCAUCGGCAUCACCUGCCACUGCUAGCACUGUAUGUAUUACUGAUUUUACAACAGCUUUUUCAUUACCACACAAACAUGGCAAGCAAACAAAACCUCUCAGUAUGAACAAAUGACAUCCUGGAGUUGACAACCCCAACACCAAAAUCAAGACUAAUACCAAACAAUAACAGUGGCUAUCGUAAGACUAACACCAACAUCAGUUACAAGGGGUUCCAUUCUUGUCGUCAUUGGACACUGCCAAGACGAGUAGCAUCUGCUUGACCACCAUAGCCUGUACACUUCCUAAAGGCCUAGGUUAAGCCUACAGGUAAUGCAACAUUCAUUGUUGUUGCAUGCUAUUUUUUUAGUCUGAACUUCAGAAAAGUGUCUUCAGCGCCAGCAAAUAUUCAAUAAUUUCUUUAAUACAGAAGGAUGAAUCCCAACCAUAACUUCUUGGGAAACAGGGUCCCCUUAUUAUGAUUAUUAUUACUAAUAUUAUUAUUAAUGAAAGUUGAACAAAUUUUAUGUCAGAAUUUAGAAAGUACAACUAUGAGUAGAUCUGCAUAAUUAAAUGUCCUUUAUUAAUUACCUCUAUAUUCUUUAUGAAACAACGUUUUUUGCAACCAAAGUCCUUUCAUCUGUAGAAAUGCCAUGCAUUCUUUAAAAUACAGGUUGUAGCCUAGUACUAGAUCACAGGAUAUUUUUUGUAACAGGCAUUUAGCUAAAUAAAUUUUGGACAAAAUGUUUCACUGUGUGCAGUGCUAUCAAGAACCUUGUGAUGGGGUCGUGAGGGUGAUACAGAAAGUCUAAUUGGGUCACAUCUAAAACUUUAAGGGCCACUAAUCUAAACCUGGGGUUCUCAAUCAUUGGGUACUUUCCUUUCAAGGUGUUGUAUAUUAACUAAAGGGGUUGUAUGCUAACUCCAGAGAGGUAAUGAAGGUCUUUGUCAAAAAGAUUCUCAAUAAAAAUUGAUAUAGUGUUUGAUGUAGUGUAGAUACCAGCAAACUAGUAAAAUAAUUUAUAAUUUUCAUUGUAAUUUGGUCCCUUGCAAUUCCAAUCAAAUAUUUUAUAUACUUUAUUAUCAUUGAUACAGUGAAUAUUGCUUUGGUAUUGUUACAAAUUUAGAUAUAUAUAGGGUUUUUUUCUGUUUACUAAUUAUUUACUUAACAAAUCUGCAAUAUAUAGUGCAACCAUAUUUCAUAGGAAUGGUUUUAAAAACAAAUGGACAGUAGAGUCUCACCAAUAAUAUCCAAUGGAUGGCGAAUAAAUAAGAUUACUAGUAAAACUGUUAUUUGUGUAACAAUUAGGUAGCUUAUAUGUGAAGCCCUCCUCACAAUUGACUCCAUAGCUUGCCUCACAUUUCCAUCACAACCAAAAAAUAUUUAGCCACUGCAAUACUCUUGUUGGUCACUUGUUAGUUUCUCUUAAUAUUUAGCACUGUUAAUUCUAAACAGUUCUGUUUCCACAUGUCAGUGUACUACGUAUAAUACACCACUUUCAAGAAGUUCAUCAUUCUGUCUUAUCUUUGCCCUCAGUGGAGGUUUCUUGUGGGUGCCUUAAAUUUUUUCCUUACCCAUCCCAAAAUUCUUUGGCAUUCAUGCAGCAAAUCACACCCUGCAUCAUCUCUCAUAGCUCCAACAGGCAAAACUGCAGAACCCAUUAUUAACCACAGACCCUAGUAACCACUGGCUAUAGAGUUAAAAAUGUCAUACUUGGCCAUAACAGUACUUCACUGAGUGUCUAGACAGUGCAAGUGAACCGGGACAGGCAACCACAUCACCAACGUAGCAGCAAACAAAUUCUAUCCGUGACGCACUCACACACUUUCCACAUAAUAUAUGUUACUCAAGAGAAUCUAGAUAGCAUUAUCAAAAUAAAUGCACAUCUUUUCCAACCUACCGUUAUUCUUGAAUACAAUAUUGUAUGUCAUUAUUGGUUAUUGGUGAGAACUUACUGUGUCACUAUGUAGUACCUAUUACUUAAAAAUUGUAUUACUUGCAAUGCCAUUGAGGGGUGAUGUGGUGAGCACCAAUGACAAUGAGAAUUUAUGUGUAAAGAACUCCUGGUCUAAACCAUUUUCAUAAAAAUGUUGUAGUGUUACUUCAUGAUUUAAUUCUAAUCUAAAGUCUCAGGGACUUGAAGCUGCAAAAACUUGAUCUUAUCA